AUGGAUCUACUCGAGGCAAGCAAAGUAGUUCUUAGUAAAAAUGAAAGGCAAGAAGACAAUGACAAUGCCAAUGUUAUUGAGAUUAGCACUAAAGGUGUUCUGUCAGAUGUCAUAGACAAUCUUGAGGACAUGUUGGAGGAUGAACAUCCAACAAAAAAUAAUGUUGAACCAGAUGUCUCUCACAUAAAAGAAAAUCAUGAAGUUGCUAAUGUCCAGAAUAAAUUUGAAUGA
This is a non-coding RNA of Vicia faba (fava bean), 231 nucleotides long. The record is from the annotation of a GenBank genome assembly. Lineage: Eukaryota; Viridiplantae; Streptophyta; Magnoliopsida; Fabales; Fabaceae.